GCUUAACCCUGAGCGUGCUUUCGAUACGGGUUGACUUGAGGAAGGUAGGGGAGAAUGGAAUUCCUGGUGGAGCGGUGGAAUGCGCAGAUAUCAGGAGGAACACCAGUGGCGAAGGCGGUUCUCUGGGCCUUUCCUGACGCUGAGGAGCGAAAGCGUGGGGAGCGAACAGGCUUAGAUACCCUGGUAGUCCACGCUGUAAACGGUGGGUACUAGGUGUGGGGUCCAUUCCACGGGUUCCGUGCCGUAGCUAACGCUUUAAGUACCCCGCCUGGGGAGUACGGCCGCAAGGCUAAAACUCAAAGGAAUUGACGGGGCCCCGCACAAGCGGCGGAGCAUGCGGAUUAAUUCGAUGCAACGCGUAGAACCUUACCUGGGUUUGACAUGGAUCGGGAGUGCUCAGAGAUGGGUGUGCCUCUUUUGGGGUCGGUUCACAGGUGGUGCAUGGCUGUCGUCAGCUCGUGUCGUGAGAUGUUGGGUUAAGUCCCGCAACGAGCGCAACCCUUGUUCACUGUUGCCAGCACGUUAUGGUGGGGACUCAGUGGAGACCGCCGGGGUCAACUCGGAGGAAGGUGGGGAUGACGUCAAGUCAUCAUGCCCCUUAUGUCCAGGGCUUCACGCAUGCUACAAUGGCUGGUACAGAG
RNAcentral lists this ribosomal RNA (641 nucleotides) under uncultured bacterium. RNAcentral describes it as "bacterial SSU rRNA". It matches the Rfam family "Bacterial small subunit ribosomal RNA", at positions 607 to 1244 of the family's 1533-position model. The record is from RNAcentral.